GUAUUUUAAAAGCUUCAAUCGGUAUGAGCACAGAUAUUGGUCAAUAAUUGGAUUCUUCAUAUUCCCAUUAAGCUUCUUCAUUCUUCUUAAACCUUAUCUUGGUCCUCUACCAAUUUUGAAUUUGCAGUCCAUGGAUAAUGGAAUCACAGUACUAGCAAUUGAGAAUUCAAACAGUUCUCAUCCAUCAAUUGGAGAGGUAAUAGAUAGAAAGCAGAUCUGCAAUGUUUCAGAUCCAAAAUUUGAUUUUUGUGAUGUUGAGGGAGAUAUUAGGAUUCAUGGGAAGUCUUCCACAAUCUUUGUUGCUUCAUCUCAACUGGGUGAUUUGGUAGGAAAUGAAUCAUGGACUGUAAAACCUUAUCCUCGAAAAAGAGACCAAUACAUGAUGGGAAUGAUUAAGAAAUUUUCAGUAAA
This is a long non-coding RNA of Telopea speciosissima, 411 nucleotides long. RefSeq lists it as uncharacterized. The record is from RefSeq and is a predicted model, not a curated record. Lineage: Eukaryota; Viridiplantae; Streptophyta; Magnoliopsida; Proteales; Proteaceae. The transcript has 3 exons.